CAGCCCGCGUAUCAAAUCACGCUGACAACGGCAUCACUCGGGAGGCAACGUAGGCGAUUCGCGUGCCCAGUGAUCCGACGAUCCAACUUUGAUCUCACGUGCGUGAACAGUUUAGAUUCGUUCCCUUCUUAAGUGCAAUCGGAUGGACAAGACUAAUCGUGAUGAACGACCUAGAUUUGUUUUCUCCUUAGGCGCGAUCAGGCAGACAAGAUCAAUUACAAUGUACGAUCCAAAUCGAUGCGGGAUG
This 247-nucleotide long non-coding RNA is filed under the name Carica papaya (papaya). RNAcentral describes it as "long non-coding RNA (CPAP_LNC005830)". The record is from RNAcentral. Lineage: Eukaryota; Viridiplantae; Streptophyta; Magnoliopsida; Brassicales; Caricaceae.